UACGUAGGGGGCAAGCGUUGUCCGGAUUUAUUGGGCGUAAAGAGCGUGUAGGCGGCCACACAGGUCUGCUGUGAAAACUCGAGGCUCAACCUCGAGCUGUCGGUGGAAACCGUGUGGCUAGAGUCCGGAAGAGGAGAGUGGAAUUCCCGGUGUAGCGGUGAAAUGCGCAGAUAUCGAGAGGAACACCAGUGGCGAAGGCGAGUCCCUGGACAACACCUGACACUGAGGCACGAAAGCCGGGGGAGCAAACAGG
RNAcentral lists this ribosomal RNA (253 nucleotides) under uncultured bacterium. RNAcentral describes it as "partial 16S ribosomal RNA". It matches the Rfam family "Bacterial small subunit ribosomal RNA", at positions 524 to 776 of the family's 1533-position model. The record is from RNAcentral.